This 1340-nucleotide long non-coding RNA is filed under the name Equus caballus (horse). Its description in RNAcentral is "lncRNA (ENSECAG00000051331.1)". Lineage: Eukaryota; Metazoa; Chordata; Mammalia; Perissodactyla; Equidae. The record is from RNAcentral.
CAAGACUUCAGAAUGUAUUAAUUAUAAAAUCUUUAAAGAUGCAAAAAUCCCUUUAUAUAUUUCGAUCUGUCAUGUAAUGUCAUUGCACGUCAGGUAAAUGGAAGUUAAGCUUCAUAAACGCAAAUCUCUGAGACUGACUGGUCAGGCGUCUCCAUUAAAGUAAAUCAAAGGUUGCAAAUGUUUCCUUAACAUCAUUCCAUCUAAAUCCCUGAUGGAAUUUUCAUUGUGAUCUGCUCCCCUUCCCGCCCCUUUUCCGACCAUGUUAUAUAUGGUUUCAAUCCAUACCAAAUGAAGGACGCAUUGAUUAGACUUGAUUUAAGGCAGCAAGUGAUAAAUGCAGCUGGAAAUUGAUUCAUGCCUCUCAAGUGACUGGGGCACAGCCAUCCACCGUUGACACAACUCUUGUCUCAAGGCUGGAAAAAACAAACAAGGAAACACCUGUCAAACAGAUAAAUGACUUUGCUGUUUGGAGCUUUCUGUGGAGGCCAUUUGUUUCCUAGAUAAGGAAGACUGCUCUCAAAAUUCAUGAGAAGAUAAGCUGGAGGAAGAGGAUGAAUGUGGAAUUGGCGGCUAAACACUUGGAAAAAACAAACAGAAAGGAUUCACCUCUGGGAAGAAUCUUGCUACGUGGAUCUGCUCUCCUUUCGCCUCAAAGGUGCUGGAAGUGGCGACUUGGCCCUGUCUCCGGGAUUCCAAGGGUUGGAGUGGAACGCUGCCGUCUUUUAUUUCCAGGGCGACAUUCCCCUACUGCUCUCCUUGGAGGGAGCAUCCAGGGGAAGACGCAGCAGGAACAGCUGAGGGACUUGAGAGCCCGGCUGACAGUCGUCUGGCCUGAAGUAUUGCGAGUUCAGCAGUUUGGCCACCAGCCCAGAAGCCCCCCGAAAACAAUACCCCUCUUGCAACCCAGGGCCUCUGGUGGAUUCUCGCCCACAGUACAUAAAUAUUUCCUGUAUUUAUGUCUCCUGGACAUGCUCUCUGCGUUCCCACCUCGACAUGUCUGUCUGCUCAUGCACUCCUUUCUCUUAUCCUAUUCGUUAGCACAGGUUUACUUUUCACCUGUCCUUCAAGGCCCCAUUCAGAUGAUGCCUCCUCCAGAAGGUCCCCCUGCAUUCUUCCUGGCUGGAAAUAAUGUCCCUCCUCUGAACUCCUACUGAAUCAGGGCCAGGUCCUGCUGGAAGAGCCUUGAAUCCAAGGAAAGCCAAAGGGAUUGGAGAGGGGAAGAGAGAUUCCUAUCAGGCUGUCCCCAAGAGCGGUGGGUUCCAGAGCUCUGUAUUCAGACUUCUGUAAAAUUAGAAUAAAACAAGAAAACCAGGCGGGGUGCAGAGGGCUGCUGACAUGAG